Molecule: long non-coding RNA, 869 nt
Organism: Trifolium pratense (red clover)
Lineage: Eukaryota; Viridiplantae; Streptophyta; Magnoliopsida; Fabales; Fabaceae
Exons: 5
Source: RefSeq, a predicted model, not a curated record
AUAUGUAAUGCUUAAUAAAGCAAAUGAAACUAAUGUAAUCUACUCUAUAGCUCACAUACAAAUUAAAUUAAUUGCAAUGUCAUCUAUUACCUUGCACCAUUAUGAUGGUUUGCUUCUAAUUACGUACAGACAUGUUGUGUGCUAUCUCAUAGCAAGUAGAUCAAUUUUUGCAGUUUGGUUAGGAGUGCUUUUGAAUUGGUUGCUGCUAGAUAAUUAAGUUUUAGCAUGGCCUAUUGAUGAAUGAGUUUUAUUUUUCACACAAGAUUCCAAUGACAGAUGUGUUUGAAAUUUCUGCAAUAGCCACUGAAGUACCUUUCUCUCAAUUUUCUUUUCUUUAAUCUUUCUCUCAAUGUGUUUGACCAUGACAGUGCCUGUGGUGGCAGAGGUUGCAACAUCUACCAAAAAAUUUUGGCUAUGAAUUUUCUUUGGACAAGAUUGAGUGAAACUGAAAAGGAUUGCCGAUAUGUAUACAAGGAGAUAGCAACCAAAAGUACAAAUUUUGAGAUUAAGAAGUUGACAUGGUGAAAAGGCAAAUGAUGAUAAAUAUGUAGUAACAAAUAUAGCAAAUGGAAUGAAGUGAAGAUUAAAGAGAAGAGAUAGUUAUUAUAUAUGGAAAAAAGUGGUAGAAUAAAUGAGAUGAAUAAAACGGGUGGAAUCAAAGUUGCACCCCUUUGCUAGGGAAUCAAGCACUCUAUGCUCAUUCAACAUCCAGCCGUCGGAAGAUAUUCUAUCAAAGUCAGCAUCAUUAUAUGCUCUAGAAUUCCCACUAUUUAACUUUGGAACUAUCUUGCUUUUCUUUGUUUUUAAUCUUGUGUUGUAAUAUCUGUACCAAACUUGAAUUUUAUGCUUUUUGGAAUGCUUCAUCUUAA